ACACGACUACAUUAGAAUACCCGGGUAGUCCAAGCCGUAAACGAUACUCGCUAGGUGUCGGCCACGGUGCGACCGUUGUCGGUGCCGUAGGGAAGCCGUGAAGCGAGCCACCUGGGAAGUACGGCCGCAAGGCUGAAACUUAAAGGAAUUGGCGGGGGAGCACAACAACGGGUGGAGCUUGCGGUUUAAUUGGAUUCAACGCCGGAAAUCUUACCGGGACCGACAGCAACAUGAAGGCCAAGCUGAAGACUUUGCCGGAUUAGCUG
RNAcentral lists this ribosomal RNA (266 nucleotides) under uncultured archaeon. RNAcentral describes it as "partial 16S ribosomal RNA". It matches the Rfam family "Archaeal small subunit ribosomal RNA", at positions 717 to 982 of the family's 1478-position model. The record is from RNAcentral.